Molecule: small nucleolar RNA, 121 nt
Filed under: Echinops telfairi (small Madagascar hedgehog)
Lineage: Eukaryota; Metazoa; Chordata; Mammalia; Afrosoricida; Tenrecidae
Description: Small nucleolar RNA SNORA61 (ENSETEG00000025113.1)
Source: RNAcentral
AACCUUCAGAUUCCUUAAUCCUCAGAUCUGAACAGGGGUCUGAGAGGCUGUAAAAGAAGGAAAAGCAAAACUGAAGUGGAUCCGGGUUUUUUAAUGAUAUACAAGUUCAUUUCAAACAAAG